UUUCUUGUUUUAUCAAAUGACACCAUUUUUUAACAUUAAAACUAAAAGAAAUUGGAUGGCAAUCUGCCAUUUUCUUUAAACAAUCAAAGCAAAUCCCUAAUUUUCCCCUUUUUUUAAUCGAUUCUCAAAGACCAAACCCUAGCCACUUCAAAAACAAAGGAAAUUUCCCCUUUCACUAUUCGGCCGAUUAACACUCUAAAAUCUUCAUCUCAGGCUUCGAUUUCGACGAAGGAGAUAAGGACUUCGAUGGCUCGUUUUCGAAGGUGUUGAGAAACGGCGGUACGGAGGAAUCCGCUCGUGGAAGCCGUGCGUGGGAAUCACUCGUGGGAUCAAUCUGUUGCUGCUCUAGCGUCUUCCAGAAACCCCUAGGGUUUCUGGUGCUUUCACAUUAUUGGGCUCCUUUGGGCUGUUUAGGAAUUGGGUCAAGGGUUAAGUUAGGGGUUUUGGGUGUAAUGGGAUUUUGGGUUGGUGUUUUGGGCCUUUAUUUAUUUUUUUAGGUUAAUUGUAAAUGGACUUUUUAUGAACUGUGAGUUUUUUUUUUAUGUUUCUCAA
Long non-coding RNA from Gossypium arboreum, 552 nucleotides. RefSeq lists it as uncharacterized. The transcript is spliced from 2 exons. The record is from RefSeq and is a predicted model, not a curated record. NCBI's taxonomy places the organism in Eukaryota, Viridiplantae, Streptophyta, Magnoliopsida, Malvales, Malvaceae.